Molecule: transfer RNA, 71 nt
Filed under: Bos taurus (domestic cattle)
Lineage: Eukaryota; Metazoa; Chordata; Mammalia; Artiodactyla; Bovidae
Also listed under: 5 other names
Rfam family: tRNA
About the family: Transfer RNA (tRNA) molecules are approximately 80 nucleotides in length. Their secondary structure includes four short double-helical elements and three loops (D, anti-codon, and T loops).
Source: Rfam by way of RNAcentral
UCCCUGGUGGCUCAGUGGUAAAGAAUCUGCCUGCAAUGCAGGAGACCCGGGUUCGAUCCCUGGAUUGGGAA